RNAcentral lists this ribosomal RNA (29 nucleotides) under Haemonchus contortus (barber pole worm). RNAcentral describes it as "partial large subunit ribosomal RNA". Lineage: Eukaryota; Metazoa; Nematoda; Chromadorea; Rhabditida; Trichostrongylidae. The record is from RNAcentral.
UGUAACCUGAGCUCAGGCGAGGUUACCCG